Molecule: ribosomal RNA, 166 nt
Filed under: uncultured bacterium
Lineage: Bacteria
Description: partial 16S rRNA
Rfam family: Bacterial small subunit ribosomal RNA
Source: RNAcentral
UAGGGAAUCUUGGGCAAUGGGACGAAAGUCUGACCGAGCAACGCCGCGUGAGUGAAGAAGGUUUUCGGAUCGUAAAACUCUGUUGGUAGAGAAGAACGUUGGUGAGAGUGGAAAGCUCAUCAAGUGACGGUAACUACCCAGAAAGGGACGGCUAACUACGUGCCAG